RNAcentral lists this unclassified non-coding RNA (279 nucleotides) under uncultured fungus. RNAcentral describes it as "sequence contains ITS2". The stretch from base 1 to 52 matches the Rfam family "5.8S ribosomal RNA", at positions 103 to 154 of the family's 154-position model. The record is from RNAcentral. Lineage: Eukaryota; Fungi.
AACGCAUCUUGCGCCUUUUGGUAUUCCAAAAGGCACACUUGUUUGAGUGUCAUGAAUUACUCGAGUCCUCUUUUGUAAUUAAAAUUGGAAUCGGAUUAUGAGUGUUGCUGUGUUACAGCUCACUUGAAAUGUAUUAGUCCCUUUAAUGCAGUCGGAUUGACUUUGGUGUAAUAAGACUUUUCACCGGAGGAUGCUUUUGCAGCCGGCUUUUAAAGGGACUGCUAAAUGUUACAACCCUUUUUAGACCUCAAAUCAAGUGGGACUACCCGCUGAACUUAA